GAUGAACGCUGGCGGCGUGCCUAAUACAUGCAAGUCGAGCGAACAGACGAUGAGCUUGCUCCUCUGACGUUAGCGGCGGACGGGUGAGUAACACGUGGAUAACCUACCUAUCAGACUGGGAUAACUUCGGGAAACCGGAGCUAAUACCGGAUAAUAUAUUGAUCCGCAUGGUUCAAUAGUGAAAGACGGUUUUGCUGUCACUUAUAGAUGGAUCCGCGCCGCAUUAGCUAGUUGGUAAGGUAACGGCUUACCAAGGCGACGAUGCGUAGCCGACCUGAGAGGGUGAUCGGCCACACUGGAACUGAGACACGGUCCAGACUCCUACGGGAGGCAGCAGUAGGGAAUCUUCCGCAAUGGGCGAAAGCCUGACGGAGCAACGCCGCGUGAGUGAUGAAGGUCUUCGGAUCGUAAAACUCUGUUAUUAGGGAAGAACAAAUGUGUAAGUAACUAUGCACGUCUUGACGGUACCUAAUCAGAAAGCCACGGCUAACUACGUG
Molecule: ribosomal RNA, 497 nt
Filed under: uncultured bacterium
Lineage: Bacteria
Description: partial 16S ribosomal RNA
Rfam family: Bacterial small subunit ribosomal RNA
Source: RNAcentral